CACAGAAGUAGCUAACAUUAACUUAAAUGUUAGCUACAGGUAGGCCUAACGGUGCAUGGACACUAGAUAAGAGAUAAAUUGCCGCGUGUCGCUCAGGUCGCACAUUGUGACUCGCUUGUGGGCGUGCUGGCAGCAUGUGGCAGCAUGUUCGAUUAUACCUUGUAACUGGAGAAUCCUUCAAAACGAUUGCCUACAGUUAAUAUAUAGGGCACUGCAAGGUUGGGUGACCUGGGACUGCCUCCUGGGGGAAUUCAGGUGUGUGAAGGCUACCUGUGUCCUGCAUUACUUGAUAAGGAUGGACACGAGGACCAGGAGGGGAUGUGCAGCUUGCCGCCGUGUGCCAGAGUAGAAGUCUGCUGCUCUGUGAGAUGUUUCAAGGAUGGGGUCUAACAACGCAGCAAGAGGGGAGAUCUUCACCUCCUACUUCUUCGAAGAUGUUGCUGUUCCCUGGUAACACCAUUGACUACACUAUGCACAACCAAAGGCUCUUUUAAGAGCCAUUGACAUUGCAAUAAGAGUAUUCUUCCAUUUACUUAACGAUGUCAACAGCAGUUAUUCAAUUCCCAGUUUCUCUCCCCUUGAUUUCAACUUCUCAGAUGAGGGUGCUGUUUAGCCACGGGUGUGAUGUCUGUACAGAAACAAAACAGGCUAUUUUAAAUCACCCAUAUUGAUUUUUUUUUUUUAACAAUUAGAUACGCUAUAACCCACACACUCAUGUAUCAAUAUGAUUGUUGGAUUGUGUUGUGCAGUAAGCAGGCUUAGGUGUAUAACUGUGGCUCCUUCCACCUUCAAAAAAUAGGCAAGAGGGCCAACCAUGGAGAAUAGUUAUAUCAGCUGUGUCAGUGAACCCCUCCCACAUCUGAACUGGCUACAUAGAGGGCACAGCAUGAUCAGAGAUAUGUUUUGAUGUGAGAGGGGAUGCCAACCCCCAGUCCUAUCAUCGCCACCUCACCUGCUUUUAAGAUAACCUUUGGGCUGUCGAGUGAUACUUAUGUAAUUGUGAUGAACUAAGAAUAUUUAGGUAGCACUGUGAUUCAUUAAUCAUAUGCUGCCUUCCCUGCUCCUAUGUUUUACCUCUUUCCCUUUUACACCUCUCCCACCACCUCUUUCUUUAUAAUGCACAACAGAUGUGCAUUGAAGUACAGAUUGAACUUGAAUUUAUAACAUUAACAUUAUAAUAUUUAUAAUGCAUGUAUUUAUAACACUUGGAUAAUGAGAU
Molecule: long non-coding RNA, 1219 nt
Organism: Oncorhynchus tshawytscha (Chinook salmon)
Lineage: Eukaryota; Metazoa; Chordata; Actinopteri; Salmoniformes; Salmonidae
Source: Ensembl